ACCCGGCCGCUGCUGCGGUCCGGACGGCAGUUGGUCCAGUAGUUUCGGAUGCCCGGGCUAGGCUCGGCGGAGAGCGAGUCGGCGUGAAUGAGAGCAAACCAACAGGGCUGUGCGUGGCGCGUAAAGAAGUGUUGAAGAAGAGAGAGACAGAAGAAAAUCACCAUAAAAAGUCAGACACGAGAGCUUAGAAGUCAAUUAAGACAGGGCUUGGAAGGGGCAUUAGAAAAAAAAAACACCUCUGUUUGCAUCUGUAGACAAAGAUCUGUUCAGAAUGGUUGGCUUUGUGAGGUAAGUUUAUGAAGAACUUUCACUUACUAUUUUAGUCAU
This 327-nucleotide long non-coding RNA is filed under the name Homo sapiens (human). RNAcentral's name for it is "non-protein coding HDAC2-AS2:118". Lineage: Eukaryota; Metazoa; Chordata; Mammalia; Primates; Hominidae. The record is from RNAcentral.